Long non-coding RNA from Aedes albopictus (Asian tiger mosquito), 1764 nucleotides. RefSeq lists it as uncharacterized. The transcript has 2 exons. NCBI's taxonomy places the organism in Eukaryota, Metazoa, Arthropoda, Insecta, Diptera, Culicidae. The record is from RefSeq and is a predicted model, not a curated record.
UUUAUCGCAUCGGUUGCGUGGGCCCUGCAGCUACGUAUUUUUUUUUCAAUAAAAACGCUGAAUGAAGCUCCGUCUGGGUACCGCACAGAGAUUUUUUUCUGAGCCGUUGUUGUGGCACUUCUUCGGGGUCAUUCGCUCGUUGUUGCUGCCGUUACCGCCGCCUUCGCGCUGCCGCCGCCGCCUUCUUCUGUCACACAGCUUUAUCGCCCUCAAUCUUUCAUAAAGCUGUCUGCGUGGUGAGAGCAAUCCACCACUUUAUGAUGAACGCGGGAUGUUCCCGCCGAGGAAGUCCCAUCGAUUCCCGUUUGGCCUUGUGUCUACCUUCUGGAGGAGAGAGCGAGCGACGAUCACCACGGGACCCGCCACAGUGAGAACCCGCGUACGGAAACGAAUUAAAAGAGGGAACGAACCCGAAGUAGAUCGAACAAGGAAUUUCGAAGAAAACAGGAUGAUGAUGGCAAAAGACAACUAGCGCGGGCCAGCAAGGCUGACGAUGGAUGUGGCGCGGCUACUCACGAUCGACGGUGACCUGUGCGCACUGGUGUGAAGCACAGUGUGCCUCAGGGUUUCCAGAGAGCGAACAGGGUGACGCCGCUUCGCCGAGGCGAUGGAGUGUAGCGAAUAUGUGCAGUCGUUCGCACAAUUAGGUGCUGCCUGUCGCUGAAAAGGUGAAGGAGACUGGUCGGAAAGUGACGACGGCUCGUGAGAAGCUCGGAUUGAACCGGUCUUGCUCGUCUGGCCUGGAAUGCGCGAUCCGUCAAUGCUCUUUAUUUGAUGCUAAACUGAGCAAAGUGUGAUAGCUUUGCAGUAGAUUCAUUUUAUUAUAUCUAGAUGAAUUUAUUACAAUACGACUGGUCUGUCAUUGAUUUAGUGAUAACGUCAACCGUUGUGUAAACUAAUUACUUUAAGAACAUGCUAUUAUUGUGAUAAGGGCGACUGAUAAGGCCCUUGUGAACAAAUCUGAUAUUGAAAUGUAUGUAACUCGGAUGAGUAAUCUAAACAAAAUUCUUUUUGAAUUGAUGUUUCUGAUUUGAAAAUUGAAAAUCCAAACGAGAUCAUCUCCCUUCUGAGUCAUUGACGCUUCGAUUUCUAUCGCAGUAGAACUAAUCGAGCGUUCGAAUGCCACGAAUCGAAUAAUUUAUAUUUAAACGCAUACUCACACAUGAUUAGCCGCUCAGAACGAGUGUGAACUGGUGAGUGAUACGUGCGGUAUGUGUGACUCACGCAGCUCAACAUGCGCGCAAAUGGCAUUACAUAUUAGUUUUAUUGUUCCCACCCGCCAUCGACUGUAUUUAUGAUGCAUACCGAUUCAGUGAAUUUAAUGAAGGUUAUUCGCCUUUUCUUCGCCGCCGUCAAGUUUCCAGACCAAAGUGCAAAAAUGUGAUUCAUUCUGACGCACGUGCCCAUUGCGGUGCGUCACAGGCCAGUUGUGUGUUCACUCUAAUUUGGCGUUCGCGCGGUGGAUCCCUUCAUCGCCGCCCCUUUUCCGACCGAAGGAGGUAAAUGUCGGAAUUCGAAGAGAACACCUGAACACUGUUAACAGGCGUCAGGCGAUCGUCUCCGGUUUACGCACACCGAUCAAAUGACGGAACAGGUUAUAUUGAAUGUGGCUAGUUAUACGUAUUAAUAUCUUGUCGAAAUAAAAAAAAACACCGCUCAAGUGUAUCUACACAUCGGUUUUGAAGGCCAUCCGGUUUUUUGUUCGAAUUUAUCGGGUGGGUUUGUUUUAAUGUAGGUAUAGUUUGUGGUGGCUGUUAAAACGUC